GUCAGGAGUGGAAUCUACUGAGAAGCUUGAAAUAUUCAGUCUUUCUCACAUCAGCCAGAGUUUCAUCCUUAACUUUUUUUGCCAUGAGCUGAACAAUUUCCUCACAUAGUUUUUGACAAAUAAGAGGGAUUGCUUGAUCCAGAAUGUCCAUACCGAUAAGAGCAAGUAAAAAUGGAUCAAAUUUUGCCACUAGUUUUAAAAGACCAAGAUAAUUGCCAUUAUUCGGAGAUCCAAAGUGCUCAUUGUCUCUUCUGAAUUGUAAGCCUCGUUCUACUGGAGUGCAUAUUAACGGCAAUAAUUACCUCUAUGACAUGCCUCCAGUACUGCUGUUAGGCUUUUAUUUGUUCCUCUAAUAGAAAAAAAAAAUCACAGAACUGAGAAAUUGCACAAAACAAAAAGAUACUGUGAAAAUCCCUGAAACAAGAAGUAAUCGACUAGAAAUAUUAGCUGUGGAAAUAAACUAAAUAAUAAAAAUCAAAAAGCUUAAGGGGAAAAAAAUAGAAAAACCUAAAACUGAACAAAGCCUUAACAGGAUGCCGGCUACAAACCUCGUUUCACUGAACUAUUCAGUUUUCCUCAGAAGGAAAUCGAAAAAUCAUAAACUUUAAAUGACCAAAAUUCAAAAAAAAGGGAUAGAACCCCCUAAAAUUCUGAAGUAUUAUAAUCCUAGCUCAACCAAGGUAAAGCAAAGUGCAGUAAUAAAGGAUAGAGGACUCAAGUACAGUUUCUAAUACUGAAUUUACAAAAAAGAUUUGAAAAACCUAAAUGGCAAGUUUUAAACAAAGCCCAGCUUGAAGAAAGCAAAACACAGUAAUAAAGGGUUGAGGACUCAACUGUGAAAGUUCUAGUGCUGCUUUUACAAAAAGGUUUACAAACCUAAACGGCACAAAUUCAAAGAAAGGAAUACCAGAUAAGCUGUUUUAGAUUUUAAACAAACACUCCCAUGGUCUAGAUGUUCUGGCACCUCUCCUAUGAGGGUGACCUGUUGCAACAGAACAAUAAAAGAUCAGCCUUUCUUUCACUGGAGUCCACAGCUGAUUCUCUGAGCAAUAACAAACUUUGGGACUCUUGAGUCCCUUAAAAGGGGAAGCAAGCAAGCCAUUAAAGCCGUUAGCCUGCGUUCUUCCAAAUUCAGGAUUUUGGGGAAGGGGAUCCCUCCUAGUCAACCACAUGAGAGAUUCCAUACAGGGGAGAAACCAUAUGAAUGCUUGGGAAGAUGUCACCAAGGAACUGCACUUCACACACUGGCGGAAGAAGAGGCGUGUGGGGGGAGCGCAUUGCCCCCAGCAGCGCGAUCCCAUUGGGGUGCCAUCGUGGCUGCGCCCCCGGGACGUGCGCCAGCCCUGCCCCCGCCUGCUCUCCGCCCCCCGGUGCUGGAGCAUGAAGCUCUGCCGCUGACUUCACUCACACCCUGUGCUCCAAUUAUAAAUGUCAAAACAAAAAAACGUUCCUAAAUACAGAGUGGGCACACAUACAUAGGUACGAAAAACAUAGUCAGAAAAACGUUGCAGGAAAGCGAUCCUAAAGCCAUUUGGAUGCUUUUAAAUGACCCCCAAAUUUUCCUCUGCAGUCAAAGAAGGUAAAAGGGGAAGAAUUGUCAGUACGUCUUUCAACCGAUGUUAGCGACUGGGCUCAAUAACUGGUUCUGCCUGGAAUGGGCUAGGCGACUGGAGCACUUUGGGAGACCUUCCAAUCCUGGAAAGCAGGUCCCAGUGCAUUGGACCCACAACUGUGCAUUGUGAGCACCAGACUCAGCAGAGUAUAAAUAACGCACAAGCUAGCUGUGAAGGAUAAUUCCUUUUAUUUCUAAUAGCUACUACAAACUAAUGAACUCCUGGCUUGCAUGAGCGUUACAGCUCCCACUCAGCCAUCUAGUCACUACAUAGAUAAGACUCUCCACAUACAGAGGCAGGCAGUCAGUCAGGAAGGAGCGGAAGAGUAGCAGAGCAGUUUCCGCCCGCUCCUUUCUCAAAACAUCAGAUCAGGAGAUUCUUGCAAUGGGAAGGGGUGAAAAUAUCAACAAGAAUACUGUCAAAAAAUAGUUCUUUUCACCUGUGUUAAAUCCUGUUAAUAGAUACAGUGGUGCCUCGCAAGACGAAAUUAAUUCAUUCCGCGAGUUUUUUCGUCUAGCGAAUUUUUCGUCUUGCGAAGCACGGUUUCCCAUAGGAAUGCAUUGAAAUUCAAUUAAUGCGUUCCUAUGGUCAAAAAGUCCAAACAAAGCCAAAUUUGGUACAACAAGAGUUUAUUAACUGCUCUUUAAAGUCACACAUACUUUAAAGAGCAUAUCAAAAUUGAAGGAACAAUAAAUUAAGUUGCUAAACAUGACAGGAAAAACAUUUAAAAAUCCAAAAAGGGUACAUUACAUUUUCUAAGACUCUGGGGGACCACUCGAAGAAGGUUCCUCUUCCACUCUUUGCUUCUUGCUGAGGAACCUGUCCAUGGUCUGCUGCUUCAUCCGCCUUUUCAGCACCUCCCUGAGAGGCAACAUGACCGUUGUAUCAAAAGUGUUCGCUUCUCCCUCAUCUUCAGGAUGGUCCCGAUGGUCGAUGGGUUCCUGCCGUACUCCCUGGCGAGGUCCGUCACACGCAUUCCACCGUCGUGCUUCCGGAUGAUCUCCUUCAUCUCCAGCGUCACCUCCUUCCUCUCGCCGGCCUCCGCAGCAGCAGCAGUCUUCUUGGGUCCCAUGGCAGCACAGCUGUUGCCUUUGUAAACUCAGAAAAAAUCAGCAAUUCAAACCCAGAACCAAGUCCUUGAAUUCCAAACACCCCAAAAUCCAAAAACCCCCAAAAAAGUUUUAAAAGUUUAACUUACGAAAUGGCUGCAAAUCACCAAAGUCUUCAAAAUCCUCAAAUGGCUGCAAAAGAAGUUUUGGGAAAGCUUUAAAAAUCACUAAAGUAUUCAAAAACCUCAACUGUUCCCCCAGCCCCUCCCCAACUGUUGCAAACCCCUCCUCAACUGUUCCCCCAGCCACCCAGCACACAGAAAUUCAAAACCCAGAAAAUUUUUCAAAAAAAACCAACAUGGCCCAAUGGUCAC
This 3036-nucleotide long non-coding RNA is filed under the name Podarcis lilfordi (Lilford's wall lizard). The record is from RNAcentral. Lineage: Eukaryota; Metazoa; Chordata; Lepidosauria; Squamata; Lacertidae.